This 480-nucleotide ribosomal RNA is filed under the name uncultured Rhodotorula. RNAcentral's name for it is "eukaryotic LSU rRNA". The stretch from base 101 to 254 matches the Rfam family "5.8S ribosomal RNA". Lineage: Eukaryota; Fungi; Basidiomycota. The record is from RNAcentral.
CUGUGCACUUGUUUGGGAUAGUAACUCUCGCAAGAGAGCGAACUCCUAUUCACUUAUAAACACAAAGUCUAUGAAUGUAUUAAAUUUUAUAACAAAAUAAAACUUUCAACAACGGAUCUCUUGGCUCUCGCAUCGAUGAAGAACGCAGCGAAAUGCGAUAAGUAAUGUGAAUUGCAGAAUUCAGUGAAUCAUCGAAUCUUUGAACGCACCUUGCGCUCCAUGGUAUUCCGUGGAGCAUGCCUGUUUGAGUGUCAUGAAUACUUCAACCCUCCUCUUUCUUAAUGAUUGAAGAGGUGUUUGGUUUCUGAGCGCUGCUGGCCUUUACGGUCUAGCUCGUUCGUAAUGCAUUAGCAUCCGCAAUCGAACUUCGGAUUGACUUGGCGUAAUAGACUAUUCGCUGAGGAAUUCUAGUCUUCGGAUUAGAGCCGGGUUGGGUUAAAGGAAGCUUCUAAUCAGAAUGUCUACAUUUUAAGAUUAGAU